RNAcentral lists this ribosomal RNA (2151 nucleotides) under Triticum aestivum (bread wheat). RNAcentral describes it as "partial small subunit ribosomal RNA". The record is from RNAcentral. Lineage: Eukaryota; Viridiplantae; Streptophyta; Magnoliopsida; Poales; Poaceae.
AUGAAUAAGGCAGGGGCGGGGACGGCGAAGGAGGCGGCGGCGGUGGGGCAGGUGAAGGCAGAGCUGGAGGACGCGGGGAAGGCGGCCGGGCGGGCGGUGGCGGUGGCGGCCGCGCCGGCGCUGAGCCCGCUGAGCGAGACGCUGUGGCGGGAGAAGGCGGCGGUGGAGUUCCUCGGGGACGUGUCGGCGCGGCUGGCGUGGAGGGACCUCACGGUCACCGUCGCGCUCGGCAGCGGCGACACGCAGACCGUGCUCGAGGCGCUCACGGGGUACGCCGAGCCGGGCACCAUCACCGCGCUCAUGGGGCCCUCCGGCUCCGGCAAGUCCACGCUGCUCGACGCGCUCGCCGGCCGCCUCGCCGCCAACGCCUUCCUCUCCGGGACCAUCCUGCUCAACGGCCGCAAGGCCAACCUCUCCUUCGGCGCCGCGGCCUAUGUGACGCAGGACGACAACUUGAUCGGCACUCUGACGGUGAGGGAGACCAUCUCGUACUCGGCGCGCCUUCGGCUCCCCGACAACAUGCCCAUGGAUGAGAAGCGUGCCUUGGUGGAGGGCACCAUCGUGGAGAUGGGGCUCCAGGACUGCGCAGACACGGUCAUCGGCAAUUGGCACCUGAGGGGGGUCAGCGGCGGCGAGAAGAGGAGGGUCAGCAUUGCCCUGGAGAUACUCAUGAGGCCUAGGCUGCUCUUCCUGGAUGAGCCCACCAGUGGCCUCGACAGUGCUUCGGCGUUCUUCGUGACACAGACUCUGCGUGGGCUGGCGAGGGAUGGCCGGACCGUGAUCGCGUCCAUCCACCAGCCCAGCAGCGAGGUCUUCGAGCUUUUCGAUCGCCUCUAUCUUCUCUCGGGGGGCAAAACAGUCUACUUUGGGCAGGCUUCCGAGGCUUGCGAGUUCUUUGCCCAAGCUGGAUUCCCAUGCCCACCGCUGCGCAACCCGUCGGAUCAUUUCCUCCGGUGCAUAAACAGAGACUUCGACAAGGUGAAGGCCACUCUGAAAGGAUCAAUGAAGAUGAGAUUUGAGAGGUCCGACGAUCCCCUCGAGCACAUCACGACUUCGGAUGCGAUCAGAAGGCUGUUCAGCUACUACCAGCACUCGCAGCACUACUUGACGGCGCGGCAGAAGGUCGACGAGAUGGCACGGGUGAAAGGGACGGUCCUGGAUGCAGGGGGGAGCCAGGCCAGCUUUGGGAUGCAGGCCGUCACGCUCACCAAGCGAUCGUUCGUCAACAUGUCGAGGGACUUUGGGUACUACUGGCUGAGGCUUGUCAUCUACAUUGUGGUCACCGUCUGCAUUGGGUCCAUCUACCUCAACGUCGGCACCAAAUACAACUCCAUCCUGGCACGGGGCGCGUGCGCGUCCUUCAUCUUCGGCUUCGUCACGUUCAUGUCGAUCGGAGGGUUCCCGUCUUUCGUGGAGGACAUGAAGGUGUUUCAGAGGGAGCGGCUGAACGGGCACUAUGGCGUGCUGGCGUUCGUGAUCAGCAACACGCUGUCGGCGAUGCCGUUCCUGAUCCUCAUCACCUUCCUGUCGGGGACGCUGUGCUACUUCAUGGUGCGCCUCCACCCGGGCUUCAUGCACUACCUCUUCUUUGUGCUCUGCCUCUACGCCAGCGUCACCGUCGUCGAGAGCCUCAUGAUGGCCAUCGCCAGCAUCAUCCCCAACUUCCUCAUGGGCAUCAUCAUCGGCGCAGGGAUACAGGGGAUAUUCAUGCUGGUGUCGGGGUACUUCAGGCUCCCGCACGACAUCCCGAAGCCCUUCUGGAGGUACCCCAUGUCCUACAUCAGCUUCCACUACUGGGCGCUGCAGGGGCAGUACCAGAACGACCUGGUGGGGCUGGUGUUCGACAACCAGGACGAGGAGCUGCCCAAGAUCCCGGGGGAGUACAUCCUGGAGAACGUGUUCCAGAUCGACGUCAGCCGGUCCAAGUGGCUGGACCUGUCCGUGCUCUUCGGCAUGAUCGUCAUCUACCGCCUGCUCUUCUUCGCCAUGAUCAAGGUCAGCGAGGACGUGACGCCGUGGGUGCGCGGAUACAUCGCCAGGAGGAGGGUGCAGCACAGGCGCAGAGAGGCGGAGCUCGCCAUGGUCCGGACGCCGUCGCUGCGCGGCUACGUCGUCGACGCCGCGCCGGAGCUGCCGGCCGAUCGUCCGUGA